AUCUUCCGCAAUGGGCGAAAGCCUGACGGAGCGACGCCGCGUGGAGGACGAAGGCCUUCGGGUUGUAAACUCCUGUCACGAGUUAAGAAGGUCGGCCUACGAACAGUGGGGCGAUUUGACGUAAGCCCGAGAGGAAGCACGGGCUAACUCUGUGCCAGCAGCCGCGGUAAUACAGAGAGUGCAAACGUUGUUCGGAAUUACUGGGCUUGAAGCGCGCGUAGGCUGCGUCGUAAGUGUCAGGUGAAAUCCCACGGCUCACCCGUGGAACUGCCUGGCAGACUGCGAUGCUAGAGUGUGGUAGGGGAGAGCGGAACUCUUGGUGGAGCGGUGAAAUGCGUAGAUAUCAAGAGGAACACCGGUGGCGAAGGCGGCUCUCUGGUCCACAACUGACGCUGAGGCGCGAAAGCUAGGGGAGCAAACGGGAUUAGAUACCCCGGUAGUCCUAGCUGUAAACGAUGGGCACUAGCUUGGGGUCUCCCUGUGUGAUCCCAGGUGAAGUAAAAAUGAUAAGUGCCCCGCCUGGGGAGUAUGGUCGCAAGGCUGAAACUCAAAGGAA
Molecule: ribosomal RNA, 556 nt
Filed under: uncultured bacterium
Lineage: Bacteria
Description: bacterial SSU rRNA
Rfam family: Bacterial small subunit ribosomal RNA
Source: RNAcentral